This 750-nucleotide ribosomal RNA is filed under the name Enterobacter ludwigii. Its description in RNAcentral is "bacterial SSU rRNA". It matches the Rfam family "Bacterial small subunit ribosomal RNA", at positions 89 to 835 of the family's 1533-position model. The record is from RNAcentral. Lineage: Bacteria; Pseudomonadati; Pseudomonadota; Gammaproteobacteria; Enterobacterales; Enterobacteriaceae.
UGACGAGCGGCGGACGGGUGAGUAAUGUCUGGGAAACUGCCUGAUGGAGGGGGAUAACUACUGGAAACGGUAGCUAAUACCGCAUAACGUCGCAAGACCAAAGAGGGGGACCUUCGGGCCUCUUGCCAUCAGAUGUGCCCAGAUGGGAUUAGCUAGUAGGUGGGGUAACGGCUCACAUAGGCGACGAUCCCUAGCUGGUCUGAGAGGAUGACCAGCCACACUGGAACUGAGACACGGUCCAGACUCCUACGGGAGGCAGCAGUGGGGAAUAUUGCACAAUGGGCGCAAGCCUGAUGCAGCCAUGCCGCGUGUAUGAAGAAGGCCUUCGGGUUGUAAAGUACUUUCAGCGGGGAGGAAGGUGUUGAGGUUAAUAACCUCAGCAAUUGACGUUACCCGCAGAAGAAGCACCGGCUAACUCCGUGCCAGCAGCCGCGGUAAUACGGAGGGUGCAAGCGUUUAUCGGAAUUACUGGGCGUAAAGCGCACGCAGGCGGUUUGUCAAGUCGGAUGUGAAAUCCCCGGGCUCAACCUGGGAACUGCAUUGGAAACUGGCAGGCUAGAGUCUUGUAGAGGGGGGUAGAAUUCCAGGUGUAGCGGUGAAAUGCGUAGAGAUCUGGAGGAAUACCGGUGGCGAAGGCGGCCCCCUGGACAAAGACUGACGCUCAGGUGCGAAAGCGUGGGGAGCAAACAGGAUUAGAUACCCUGGUAGUCCACGCCGUAAACGAUGUCGACUUGGAGGUUGUGCCCUGAG